CACACACCUCCACACGCGCACAUACACACACAUGCUGACAGGUGUGCACAUAUGCGCACGUGCACACACAAAUACGCACGCACAGCACACACAGACACAUAAGUGUCCAUAAACAACACAGAUCUGGCCUCAGAGCCACCCUCCAGGUGCGGCUGCCCCGGGCCCCAGGUGCGGCUGCACCGUGCUGUGGUGACAGCCACAGCAGGAUCAGAGCAGCCUCAAGGCCCUUCAGGAGCCGGCAGAGCUGGCCCCAGGCUGAGCUUGGGGAGGUGAGCCCAGGCCUGGGACCGACGCUUCCUAAUUGGCGGGCAGAGUCCAUGCAGCCCCUCCCAGUCUACACGGAAGCCCACGUGUCCACCUCCUGCUUCUGCUGUCCCCAGGACAGUGAAAUUUACUAAUGUGGAUUAAGAACAUUUUUUAAAUAAAAAAACAUUUUACACAUUGAGGACGGAAGAGAGAAGAUUACGGCCAACCAACCCCGUGCACUUCCCCGCCCAGGUUCAUGGAGUCUGAGCCCUCUGGCCUCCUGAGCCUCUGGGCUCUGUCACCAGGUGGGCGCCUUCCCCAGCCCGUGAGGCUCGCUGCUCACGGGGGCCCCGAUGCCUGAGUGAUGUCAUGGAUUUAGGUUUCAGUGCUGGCACAUGUGGCCCGCAGAGCUCAGCUCCUCUGUGAGGGACGUUUCGGCUCCUGUGGGCUUUGCUGUCCCCCAUGCUGACUCUGCCUCACUUGGUUGUCCUCAGGUCACUCUGUGCGGUGUGCACUGACCCCAGCCAGUGGAUGUUCCCCGUCCAAGAGCAAAGCUACAGUCGGCUGCAGGUGCAGUGACUUUUGCACAGUGGAAGAAUUUCUCCAGAAGAUAUUCCUGCAGGUGGAAUCACUGGAUCGUAGGCCCAGAUGUCUUCCACUUACUUGAUUUUGCCUGAUGCCUUCCAAGGAGGCUGUGCACAGCAGGUGUGAGAUGCCCCAUCUCACCAACCGGCCAACAUCCCGAUGGGAGAUGUUGAGUUUUCACCACGCUGCUGAGUGUGACGUGGAAUCUUCUUAUUUUAGCUUGCAUUUCCCUGAUUACAAGUCAGGUGGAACAUCUCGAAUAUGUUUCUGGGCCAUUUGAUUUUCCUGCAAGUCACCUGUUCCAGUUCUUUGCCCAUUUCCUGUUGGGUUGGUCAAUAUUUUUUGUGAUUACACGUUGGAUACGUGGCUGGCCUUUGGCUUGCCUUUGACUUCGUUUGUUCUAUCGAAGCAUGUGCAGAAUUGUUAAAUUUUAAUGUAUUCAAAUGCAUUAAUCUCAUUUCUUAUUUUUGUUGUUUUAUUUUUUGUUUUUUGUUUUUUUGAGACAGAGUCUCGCUCUGUCUCCCAGGCUGGAAUACAGUGACACGAUCUUGGCUCACUGCAACCUCUGCCUCCCCACUUCAAGCAAUCCUCCUGCCUCAGCUUCCUGAGAAGCUGGGACCACAGGCAUGUGCCAUCAUGUCCGGCUAAUUUUCUUUUUAAAAUGUUGUAGCAAUGGAGCCUGGGCUCAAGCCAUCUUCCCACCUCAGCCUGCCAAGUAGCUGGGACCACAGACAUGUGCCACUGCUGCGCCCAGCUAGCCUUUAAUAUUUUUAAAUGCUGUAAGAUCUGCAGGUUUUUUUCCAACCAAGUUUAUAGCUUUUCACCCCACGGAUCCCCGAGGCCAUGACAGGCAGUGACCUCCUUGGGGCACCCGCAGAGUCCUCCCCCCCAUCUUGGGAGGGCUUGUCCAGUUUCAGUUUUGUUUGUUUACUAGGCUUUGUUUUACAGUCACUAGUUAAAUUUACUAAGAUUUUUCAACUUCUUGUCUCAAGGGACUUCAUUUUAAUAAACAAUAUCUUUUCUCUUUUCUUUC
Molecule: long non-coding RNA, 1864 nt
Filed under: Homo sapiens (human)
Lineage: Eukaryota; Metazoa; Chordata; Mammalia; Primates; Hominidae
Description: long intergenic non-protein coding RNA 304
Source: RNAcentral